AUUUCUAAACAUAUUAGUAGCUCUGGAAUUUUCCAAUGGAUUCCCCGAAUUUAUUGUUUUAAAAAUAAAUAAAAUACUAAGUUCUAAUUGGAUAAAGCAGUUUACUGGCUACAGAACAAAGCAUUUGAAUUGGAGUUUACGCUAAAAAAAUUGGAAGGUACUUCUUGCUACGCUCUCGGAGAAGUUCUCGGACAAGAUCAUGGACUUAUUUCUGGUUUAUUUGAUGACUGAAACGUCAGGGCUUUCUCAGAUGAUACAUUACGCAUGGCGUGUGAUGCAUGAUGAACAUCAGCAGAAGAUGUGCUGUGGCAGAGUAUAAUAAAUAUAUAAUAAAAGAUUAAACAUUGAAACAC
This is a long non-coding RNA of Armigeres subalbatus, 353 nucleotides long. RefSeq lists it as uncharacterized. The record is from RefSeq and is a predicted model, not a curated record. The transcript is spliced from 3 exons. NCBI's taxonomy places the organism in Eukaryota, Metazoa, Arthropoda, Insecta, Diptera, Culicidae.